GACGAACGCUGGCGGCGUGGAUUAGGCAUGCAAGUCGAACGGUAAACGUUCCUUCGGGGAUGUUGAGAGUGGCGAACGGGUGAGUAACGCGUAGGUGAUCUACCUUCAAGUGGGGGACAACCCAGGGAAACUUGGGCUAAUACCGCAUGUGUCCGUAAGGAUAAAGCCGGCCUCUGUAUAUGCUGGUGCUUGGAGCUGAGCCUGCGUCUGAUUAGCUAGUUGGUGGGGUAACGGCCUACCUAGGCGAUGAUAAGUAGGCGGCUUUAACGAGUGGUCGCCCACACUGGGAUUGAGAUACGGCCCAGACUCCUACGGGUGGCAG
This 322-nucleotide ribosomal RNA is filed under the name uncultured Spirochaetota bacterium. Its description in RNAcentral is "bacterial SSU rRNA". It matches the Rfam family "Bacterial small subunit ribosomal RNA", at positions 28 to 351 of the family's 1533-position model. The record is from RNAcentral. Lineage: Bacteria; Pseudomonadati; Spirochaetota.